Long non-coding RNA from Brassica napus (rape), 1616 nucleotides. RefSeq lists it as uncharacterized. The transcript is spliced from 3 exons. The record is from RefSeq and is a predicted model, not a curated record. NCBI's taxonomy places the organism in Eukaryota, Viridiplantae, Streptophyta, Magnoliopsida, Brassicales, Brassicaceae.
GGAGUAUUAAAUAAAUCACUAUAUAAUAAUAUUAUCGAAUAAAAAAAAUAUAAAUAAUAAUAUUACAGAAUUACACAAUAUAUAAUACUAAAAUAGAGAUUAUAUAUUUACACUAUUUAUAAUAAUAUCAAAUACAUUUAUAAAAUAAAAAAAUAUCGCACGGACGUGCAGAUUAAAAUCUAGUGAAAAUUAUAUCAAAUAUCUAUCUGAAAAAUGUAUAGGUUUUUCUGGUUUUUUCUAAGAAAAUAUGUAUUCAUACAAACGUACAAUUCAGAAUUUUGUUGUUGUUCAGAAUAUAACUUCCAAAACAAUAGCUAACAUUUGAAAAUCAAAAUAUCUCCGCGCGUAACGCGGGUUAGUUAUAGAUUUGGUUCUCUCCGCAAUGGAGGGUGCAUUUUGUGGCACGUGGCGUUCUAUCAUUACCAAUGUUAAGCUGUUUUCUCAUUGAGUAUUCUAUUUGGGCUUCGUAUUCUGAUCUGAGUAAUGCGAUGAGCUGUUAUUGUUUUUCCUUAAGAAGUUCAUGUCAUAUUAGUGUUUGCUUCAUUCUCCCUUGUGUCGCUCGAGAUUCCGUAGCUCUGUCUCUUCACAUCUCACCACCACCGGUGUUCUUCUCUGAAACGACUACAGUUAUUCAGAUUACAUUAAUCCAAGCAUUAACAUCUUAUGAACAACUUCUCCCACUCUUUUGAAUUAAAUUGGCCACAGCUAAAUCCAAAGUAACCGACUAAAACUUGACCUUUAUAUAUCUUCGUUUCUUGGGAUGAACAGCCCCAACGAAAAAAAUCCCAAAAGUCUCUCUCUGCCAAGCAUCAAAUUCAUCAAUGGUGAAUUUGUUUACAAUAGAUAUCACCUCCGAUAGAACUCAUCAGUCAUCACUCAUCACUACGAUGAGAAAGUGUUGGGUUUCAUCAAAGGAUAUUUCUUUGAUAUUGCUUACUUUGAUCAUAUGUGCACUAUAACACCCUCCAAGAACUUGCAUUGAUGACAGCUCUUUUAUUUCCAAUUCAACCCUAUACUCCAUUGCAAAAUACGAGAAGCCGACCAUUUAUUUACUGAGCUCGGUACCAUAGAUGUAAGUUCUCUUUCCUGCUUCAGUAUAACAUAUCCGGCUAAAAAAAUUUAAAAAAAAAAAGCUGCUAGCGAUUUCCAUUUCCAACAUAAUCUUUACUUUCUCAGCGUUUGGUACAUAUAUCAUCAUGAAGGUUUCAUAUCUUGACGCUUUUUGAAAUAUGAAGGAAGUGACAAGGCUUCUGAUACUAGACCAUAUCCAGAGGUUUGAGACCAACUUAUAUGGUCUUGCAUUGAUGAAACAAUGAUUGUGUUAAAAAUUACUAAUCAGAUGGAACCGUUCUCAAUUGUUUUGAGUGCAAGAUCUUCAAAAGUUUAUAUUUUCAUGACUUGGGCUUCAUAUGAUUAAGCACGACAAGGAACAAAGAUAUUUGAAGUAUAUCAACCAAUUGUUCGCCAUUAAAUUGCCUUUCUUUAGUUUGCCAUUGUAUGUAAAGUCUAUCAAAUUGUUCAAAUUGUAAUUCUUUAGUUUCCGAGAUGAACUCUGCAAACAUUGAAUAUGAUAAAUCUAUAAUGAUAGCUUGAAGAGUUCCCAUUGACCUGAUAAA